This is a long non-coding RNA of Homo sapiens (human), 567 nucleotides long. Lineage: Eukaryota; Metazoa; Chordata; Mammalia; Primates; Hominidae. The record is from Ensembl.
UUUCGUUGUGUGUUUUUGCUCUCAAGCAUUUUCCAUGAACUGCGUGUGGAUUCAUUGCCUGCAUCGGAUGACAAAGACUUGAAUGUUGCUACUAAGUGUGUCCCCGAGAAAGUGUCAGAGCCUUUACCUGGAUCUUCGCAUGAAAAAGGAAACAGAAUAGUCAAUGGACAAGGAGAAGGGCCUCCUGCAAAACAUCCUUCCUUGAAGCCUAGCACUGAAGUAGAAGAUCCUGCUGUGAAAGGAGCAGUACAAAGAAAGAAUGUACAGACAUUGAGAGCAGAACAAGCCUUACCAGUGGCUUCAGAGGAAGAGCAAGAAAGGCAUGAAAGAAGUGAAAAGAAGCAACCACAGGUCAAAGAAGGAAAUAAUACAAACAAAAGUGAAAAAAUACAACUUUCAGAAAAUAUAUGUGAUAGUACAUCUUCUGCUGCUGCUGGCAGAUUAACCCAACAAAGAAAGAUUGGGAAAACGUAUCCUCAGCAAUUUCCCAAGAAGCUGAAGGAAGAGCAUGAUAGAUGCACCUUAAAACAAGAAAAUGAAGAAAAAACAAAUGUUAAUAUGCUGUAC